Molecule: long non-coding RNA, 1083 nt
Organism: Helianthus annuus (common sunflower)
Lineage: Eukaryota; Viridiplantae; Streptophyta; Magnoliopsida; Asterales; Asteraceae
Exons: 7
Source: RefSeq, a predicted model, not a curated record
CCAAUAUAAACCUUCUAAAACCUAAAUCCAUCAUUUGAUAAUCCUGGAUUCAAUUCUAAACCCUAGCCUCCCACCCUUCAUUGCAAACCCUCUGGUUCAUCAUCCUCGUGGUCUCAAUUUCUUUUUUUCUUUAUCAAAGAUUGAAGAUAAUCAAAUCACAGGUUAGGGUUCGUUAAUCAAUACAGUCGACACGAUGACACCAUCCUCAACGUCGCUAUGAGUCUUUAGACUGUGAAAUGUUUCUGAAGUAGCAGAACGGGUCGGGACGAGUCGGUAAAUACGAAAGAGAAGGUUGUUAAAGGGAAAACUAAAGUAGAAGAGAUGUGAUCACAACAUUUUGGUCCUAGAAUCGUAUAUAUGUUUUGAAUAUAUCUUUUUAAGAAAGAUAUAAUGUUCGGACCCUCGGAAGAUUGAGUAGCUGGCCAUAAUUGGAGCAGGUCUUAUGUGUAUAGAAGUUUUCUCUUUUUGGUUCGAUAAUAACAAUUGGUUCAAUGAUUGGAGCUGUUACGAGCGGAAGAAUUGCAGACACAAUUGGUCGAAAAGGGGAUUACCCGUAUUAAAUUUUCGAGCUGACACAAAUUUACCGAAAGGGUGUUGGGUGCCAACAUUGUGAAAAAGUGGCUCUAAGACAUUUGCUGUUUAUCCGAUAUCUGUUACAGAUGUCAACAAUAUUAACUGGUCUAUUAAAAGAAGGUGUUAAAUGUUUCGACAUUUUGAGGAGUUACACCGGCAUCUUAAGGAAUAUCCAGAGUAUAAACUUCAUCUCCCACCAAGACACUUUCUGUCAACGGGACUUGAUGUGGAUGUUAUUCAAGAACGUUGCAAACUUCUUGAUAUAUAUUUGAAGAGCUUUAUGCAGUCUCCAACUAUAUCGGGAUGUAUUGAAGUUUGGGACUUUCUUAGUGUUGACUCUCGGGUUUGACUUGUGAUUUAUCUGCUGCUAUAUGUUCUUUUAAAUCUAUUUCUUACUUGUACAUGUUACCUGUUGUGAGACAUAUAGUUUCUCAAACUCUAUAUCCAUCAUUGAAGCACUACCAUGUAAACUUUAUUUAUACCAGUUUUUUAUUUAUUUUUUAAUAUCUA